RNAcentral lists this unclassified non-coding RNA (336 nucleotides) under soil metagenome. RNAcentral describes it as "partial contains 5.8S ribosomal RNA, internal transcribed spacer 2, and large subunit ribosomal RNA". The stretch from base 1 to 120 matches the Rfam family "5.8S ribosomal RNA", at positions 35 to 154 of the family's 154-position model. The record is from RNAcentral.
GAUGAAGAACGUAGCGAAAUGCGAUAAGUAAUGAGAAUUGCAGAAUUCAGUGAAUCAUCGAAUCUUUGAACGCACAUUGCGCCCGCCAGUAUUCUGGCGGGCAUGCCUGUUCGAGCGUCAUUUCAACCAUCAAGCCCCAGGCUUGUGUUGGGGACCUGCGGCUGCCGCAGGCCCUGAAAACCAGUGGCGGGCUCGCUGUCACACCGGGCGUAGUAGAUUUUAUCUCGCUCAGGGCGUGCUGCGGGUUCCGGCCGUUAAAAAGCCUUUUUUACCCAAGGUUGACCUCGGAUCAGGUAGGAAGACCCGCUGAACUUAAGCAUAUCAAUAAGCGGAGGA